UACGUAGGGUGCGAGCGUUAAUCGGAAUUACUGGGCGUAAAGCGUGCGCAGGCGGUUCGUUGUGUCGGUGGUGAAAGCCCCGGGCUCAACCUGGGAAUUGCAUUUGAGACUGCGUAGCUAGGGUGCGGAAGAGGGAAGCGGAAUUUCCGGUGUAGCGGUGAAAUGCGUAGAUAUCGGAAGGAACACCAGUGGCGAAAGCGGCUUCCUGGUCCAGCACCGACGUUCAGGCACGAAAGCGUGGGGAGCAAACAGG
RNAcentral lists this ribosomal RNA (253 nucleotides) under uncultured bacterium. RNAcentral's name for it is "partial 16S ribosomal RNA". It matches the Rfam family "Bacterial small subunit ribosomal RNA", at positions 524 to 776 of the family's 1533-position model. The record is from RNAcentral.